Molecule: ribosomal RNA, 496 nt
Filed under: uncultured bacterium
Lineage: Bacteria
Description: partial 16S ribosomal RNA
Rfam family: Bacterial small subunit ribosomal RNA
Source: RNAcentral
GACGAACGCUGGCGGCGUGCCUAAUACAUGCAAGUUGAGCGCUGAAGGUUGGUACUUGUUCCAACUGGAUGAGCAGCGAACGGGUGAGUAACGCGUGGGGAAUCUGCCUUUGAGCGGGGGACAACAUUUGGAAACGAAUGCUAAUACCGCAUAAAAACUUUAAACACAAGUUUUAAGUUUGAAAGAUGCAAUUGCAUCACUCAAAGAUGAUCCCGCGUUGUAUUAGCUAGUUGGUGAGGUAAAGGCUCACCAAGGCGAUGAGACAUAGCCGACCUGAGAGGGUGAGCGGCCACACGGGAACUGAGACACGGUCAAGACUCCUACGGGAGGCAGCAGUAGGGAAUCUUCAGCAAUGGGCGAAAGCCUGACGGAGCAAGGCGGCGUGAGUGAUGAAGGUCUUCGGAUCGUAAAACUCUGUGAUUAGGGAAGAAAAUAUGUGUAAGUAACUGUGCACAUCGUGACGGUACCUAAGCAGAAAGCCACGGCUAACUACGUG